GAUGAACGCUGACAGAAUGCUUAACACAUGCAAGUCUUUGGCGAAGCUGUGCUUGCACAGCCUAGCCAAGGCGGACGGGUGAGUAACGCGUAAGGAACUUGCCCUGCAGUCAGGGAUAACAGACGGAAACGACUGAUAAGACCUGGUAAAGUCAGGCGGACUCAUGUCCAGCCUGAUGAAAAGAGAUGUUGCAGGAGAGCCUUGCGUCCUAUUAGCUUGUUGGUGGGGUAACGGCCCACCAAGGCGAUGAUAGGUAGCCGGCCUGAGAGGGUGGACGGCCACAAGGGGACUGAGAUACGGCCCUUACUCCUACGGGAGGCAGCAGUGGGGAAUAUUGGACAAUGGGGGCAACCCUGAUCCAGCAAUUCUGAGUGCACGAUGAAGGUUUUCGGAUUGUAAAGUGCUUUCAGCAGGGAAGAAAAAAUGACGGUACCUGCAGAAGAAGCGACGGCUAAAUACGUG
RNAcentral lists this ribosomal RNA (462 nucleotides) under uncultured bacterium. RNAcentral's name for it is "partial 16S ribosomal RNA". It matches the Rfam family "Bacterial small subunit ribosomal RNA", at positions 28 to 507 of the family's 1533-position model. The record is from RNAcentral.